This 893-nucleotide ribosomal RNA is filed under the name uncultured bacterium. RNAcentral describes it as "partial 16S ribosomal RNA". The record is from RNAcentral.
ACUCCCCAGGCGGAGUGCUUAAUGCGUUAGCUGCAGCACUAAGGGGCGGAACCCCCCUAACACUUAGCACUCAUCGUUUACGGCGUGGACUACCAGGGUAUCUAAUCCUGUUUGAUCCCCACGCUUUCGCACAUCAGCGUCAGUUACAGACCAGAAAGUCGCCUUCGCCACUGGUGUUCCUCCAUAUCUCUGCGCAUUUCACCGCUACACAUGGAAUUCCACUUUCCUCUUCUGCACUCAAGUUUUCCAGUUUCCAAUGACCCUCCACGGUUGAGCCGUGGGCUUUCACAUCAGACUUAAAAAACCGCCUACGCGCGCUUUACGCCCAAUAAUUCCGGAUAACGCUUGCCACCUACGUAUUACCGCGGCUGCUGGCACGUAGUUAGCCGUGGCUUUCUGAUUAGGUACCGUCAAGAUGUGCACAGUUACUUACACAUAUGUUCUUCCCUAAUAACAGAGUUUUACGAUCCGAAGACCUUCAUCACUCACGCGGCGUUGCUCCGUCAGGCUUUCGCCCAUUGCGGAAGAUUCCCUACUGCUGCCUCCCGUAGGAGUCUGGACCGUGUCUCAGUUCCAGUGUGGCCGAUCACCCUCUCAGGUCGGCUAUGCAUCGUUGCCUUGGUAAGCCGUUACCUUACCAACUAGCUAAUGCAGCGCGGAUCCAUCUAUAAGUGACAGCAAGACCGUCUUUCACUUUUGAACCAUGCGGUUCAAAAUAUUAUCCGGUAUUAGCUCCGGUUUCCCGAAGUUAUCCCAGUCUUAUAGGUAGGUUAUCCACGUGUUACUCACCCGUCCGCCGCUAACAUCAGAGAAGCAAGCUUCUCGUCCGUUCGCUCGACUUGCAUGUAUUAGGCACGCCGCCAGCGUUCAUCCUGAGCCAGGAUCAAACCCUC